CCUACGGGCGGCAGCAGUGAGGAAUAUUGGUCAAUGGACGAGAGUCUGAACCAGCCAAGUAGCGUGAAGGAUGACUGCCCUAUGGGUUGUAAACUUCUUUUAUAUGGGAAUAAAAUGUUCCACGUGUGGGUUUUUGUAUGUACCAUAUGAAUAAGGAUCGGCUAACUCCGUGCCAGCAGCCGCGGUAAUACGGAGGAUCCGAGCGUUAUCCGGAUUUAUUGGGUUUAAAGGGAGCGUAGAUGGGUUGUUAAGUCAGUUGUGAAAGUUUGCGGCGAAACCGUAAAAUUGCAGUUGAUACUGGCGGUAUAGAGUAAAGUGGAGGUAGGCGGAAUUCGUGGUGUAGCGGUGAAAUGUGUAGAUAC
RNAcentral lists this ribosomal RNA (362 nucleotides) under uncultured bacterium. Its description in RNAcentral is "partial 16S ribosomal RNA". It matches the Rfam family "Bacterial small subunit ribosomal RNA", at positions 338 to 697 of the family's 1533-position model. The record is from RNAcentral.